UCAGAUGCGAAAGCGUGGGUAGCAAACAGGAUUAGAUACCCUGGUAGUCCACGCCGUAAACGCUGUCUACUUGGAGGUUGAGGUUUUAGACUUUGGCUUUCGGCGCUAACGCAUUAAGUAGACCGCCUGGGGAGUACGGCCGCAAGGUUAAAACUCAACUGAAUUGACGGGGGCCCGCACAAGCGGUGGAGCAUGUGGUUUAAUUCGAUGCAACGCGAAGAACCUUACCUACUCUUGACAUCCAGCGAAGCCUUUAGAGAUAGAGGCGUGCCUUCGGGAGCGCUGAGACAGGUGCUGCAUGGCUGUCGUCAGCUCGUGUUGUGAAAUGUUGGGUUAAGUCCCGCAACGAGCGCAACCCUUAUCCUUGUUUGCCAGCACAUAAUGGUGGGAACUCCAGGGAGACUGCCGGUGAUAGACCGGAGGAAGGUGGGGACGACGUCAAGUCAUCAUGGCCCUUACGAGUAGGGCUACACACGUGCUACAAUGGCAGAUACAGAGGGCAGCGAGACAGCGAUGUUUAGCGAAUCCCUUAAAGUUUGUCGUAGUCCGGAUUGGAGUCUGCAACUCGACUCCAUGAAGUCGGAAUCGCUAGUAAUCGUGGAUCAGAAUGCCACGGUGAAUACGUUCCCGGGCCUUGUACACACCGCCC
Molecule: ribosomal RNA, 649 nt
Filed under: uncultured bacterium
Lineage: Bacteria
Description: bacterial SSU rRNA
Rfam family: Bacterial small subunit ribosomal RNA
Source: RNAcentral